This 253-nucleotide ribosomal RNA is filed under the name uncultured bacterium. RNAcentral describes it as "partial 16S ribosomal RNA". It matches the Rfam family "Bacterial small subunit ribosomal RNA", at positions 524 to 776 of the family's 1533-position model. The record is from RNAcentral.
UACGUAGGGUGCGAGCGUUAAUCGGAAUUACUGGGCGUAAAGUGUGCGCAGGUGGCCGCGCAAGUCGAGUGUGAAAUCCCCGAGCUUAACUUGGGAAUUGCGCUCGAAACUACGUGGCUCGAGUGUGGCAGAGGAAGGUGGAAUUCCACGUGUAGCGGUGAAAUGCGUAGAGAUGUGGAGGAACACCGAUGGCGAAGGCAGCCUUCUGGGCCAACACUGACGCUCAGACACGACAGCAUGGGGAGCGAACGGG